UUAAGCGACUAAGCGUACACGGUGGAUGCCCUGGCAGUCAGAGGCGAUGAAGGACGUGCUAAUCUGCGAUAAGCGUCGGUGAGGUGAUAUGAACCGUUAUAACCGGCGAUUUCCGAAUGGGGAAACCCAGUGUGUUUCGACACACUAUCAUUAACUGAAUCCAUAGGUUAAUGAGGCGAACCGGGGGAACUGAAACAUCUAAGUACCCCGAGGAAAAGAAAUCAACCGAGAUUCCCCCAGUAGCGGCGAGCGAACGGGGAGGAGCCCAGAGCCUGAAUCAGUGUGUGUGUUAGUGGAAGCGUCUGGAAAGGCGCGCGAUACAGGGUGACAGCCCCGUACACAAAAAUGCACAUAUUGUGAGCUCGAUGAGUAGGGCGGGACACGUGGUAUCCUGUCUGAAUAUGGGGGGACCAUCCUCCAAGGCUAAAUACUCCUGACUGACCGAUAGUGAACCAGUACCGUGAGGGAAAGGCGAAAAGAACCCCGGCGAGGGGAGUGAAAAAGAACCUGAAACCGUGUACGUACAAGCAGUGGGAGCCUCUUAAUGGGGUGACUGCGUACCUUUUGUAUAAUGGGUCAGCGACUUAUAUUCUGUAGCAAGGUUAACCGAAUAGGGGAGCCGAAGGGAAACCGAGUCUUAACUGGGCGUUAAGUUGCAGGGUAUAGACCCGAAACCCGGUGAUCUAGCCAUGGGCAGGUUGAAGGUUGGGUAACACUAACUGGAGGACCGAACCGACUAAUGUUGAAAAAUUAGCGGAUGACUUGUGGCUGGGGGUGAAAGGCCAAUCAAACCGGGAGAUAGCUGGUUCUCCCCGAAAGCUAUUUAGGUAGCGCCUCGUGAAUUCAUCUCCGGGGGUAGAGCACUGUUUCGGCAAGGGGGUCAUCCCGACUUACCAACCCGAUGCAAACUGCGAAUACCGGAGAAUGUUAUCACGGGAGACACACGGCGGGUGCUAACGUCCGUCGUGAAGAGGGAAACAACCCAGACCGCCAGCUAAGGUCCCAAAGUCAUGGUUAAGUGGGAAACGAUGUGGGAAGGCCCAGACAGCCAGGAUGUUGGCUUAGAAGCAGCCAUCAUUUAAAGAAAGCGUAAUAGCUCACUGGUCGAGUCGGCCUGCGCGGAAGAUGUAACGGGGCUAAACCAUGCACCGAAGCUGCGGCAGCGACGCUUAUGCGUUGUUGGGUAGGGGAGCGUUCUGUAAGCCUGUGAAGGUGGCCUGUGAGGGUUGCUGGAGGUAUCAGAAGUGCGAAUGCUGACAUAAGUAACGAUAAAGCGGGUGAAAAGCCCGCUCGCCGGAAGACCAAGGGUUCCUGUCCAACGUUAAUCGGGGCAGGGUGAGUCGACCCCUAAGGCGAGGCCGAAAGGCGUAGUCGAUGGGAAACAGGUUAAUAUUCCUGUACUUGGUGUUACUGCGAAGGGGGGACGGAGAAGGCUAUGUUGGCCGGGCGACGGUUGUCCCGGUUUAAGCGUGUAGGCUGGUUUUCCAGGCAAAUCCGGAAAACCAAGGCUGAGGCGUGAUGACGAGGCACUACGGUGCUGAAGUGACAAAUGCCCUGCUUCCAGGAAAAGCCUCUAAGCAUCAGGUAACAUCAAAUCGUACCCCAAACCGACACAGGUGGUCAGGUAGAGAAUACCAAGGCGCUUGAGAGAACUCGGGUGAAGGAACUAGGCAAAAUGGUGCCGUAACUUCGGGAGAAGGCACGCUGAUAUGUAGGUGAAGCGACUUGCUCGUGGAGCUGAAAUCAGUCGAAGAUACCAGCUGGCUGCAACUGUUUAUUAAAAACACAGCACUGUGCAAACACGAAAGUGGACGUAUACGGUGUGACGCCUGCCCGGUGCCGGAAGGUUAAUUGAUGGGGUUAGCGGUAACGCGAAGCUCUUGAUCGAAGCCCCGGUAAACGGCGGCCGUAACUAUAACGGUCCUAAGGUAGCGAAAUUCCUUGUCGGGUAAGUUCCGACCUGCACGAAUGGCGUAAUGAUGGCCAGGCUGUCUCCACCCGAGACUCAGUGAAAUUGAACUCGCUGUGAAGAUGCAGUGUACCCGCGGCAAGACGGAAAGACCCCGUGAACCUUUACUAUAGCUUGACACUGAACAUUGAGCCUUGAUGUGUAGGAUAGGUGGGAGGCUUUGAAGUGUGGACGCCAGUCUGCAUGGAGCCGACCUUGAAAUACCACCCUUUAAUGUUUGAUGUUCUAACGUUGGCCCCUGAUCGGGGUUGCGGACAGUGUCUGGUGGGUAGUUUGACUGGGGCGGUCUCCUCCUAAAGAGUAACGGAGGAGCACGAAGGUUGGCUAAUCCUGGUCGGACAUCAGGAGGUUAGUGCAAUGGCAUAAGCCAGCUUGACUGCGAGCGUGACGGCGCGAGCAGGUGCGAAAGCAGGUCAUAGUGAUCCGGUGGUUCUGAAUGGAAGGGCCAUCGCUCAACGGAUAAAAGGUACUCCGGGGAUAACAGGCUGAUACCGCCCAAGAGUUCAUAUCGACGGCGGUGUUUGGCACCUCGAUGUCGGCUCAUCACAUCCUGGGGCUGAAGUAGGUCCCAAGGGUAUGGCUGUUCGCCAUUUAAAGUGGUACGCGAGCUGGGUUUAGAACGUCGUGAGACAGUUCGGUCCCUAUCUGCCGUGGGCGCUGGAGAACUGAGGGGGGCUGCUCCUAGUACGAGAGGACCGGAGUGGACGCAUCACUGGUGUUCGGGUUGUCAUGCCAAUGGCACUGCCCGGUAGCUAAAUGCGGAAGAGAUAAGUGCUGAAAGCAUCUAAGCACGAAACUUGCCCCGAGAUGAGUUCUCCCUGAGACUUAGAGUCUCCUGAAGGAACGUUGAAGACGACGACGUUGAUAGGCCGGGUGUGUAAGCGCAGCGAUGCGUUGAGCUAACCGGUACUAAUGAACCGUGAGGCUUAACCUU
This 2903-nucleotide ribosomal RNA is filed under the name Escherichia coli. RNAcentral's name for it is "bacterial LSU rRNA". It matches the Rfam family "Bacterial large subunit ribosomal RNA". The record is from RNAcentral. Lineage: Bacteria; Pseudomonadati; Pseudomonadota; Gammaproteobacteria; Enterobacterales; Enterobacteriaceae.